UAGAAGAGAGAGCCCAGCGUCUCUUCAGCACUAAAGGCAAAUCUCUGGAGUCUCUGGACCCCUCACUGUUUGCCAAAAACCCAAAAGCCAAAGGACCAAAGAAAGACUCGGAGCGCAACAAGGAAUCUGCUUUUCUUGAAGCUCAGAUUUAUGAAUAUGUGGAGAUUUUGGGGGAGCAAAGGCAGCUGACCCAUGAGAACGUCCAGAGGAAGCAGGCGCGCACAGGAGAGGAGCGUGACGAGGAGGAUGAAGAGCAGCCCAGCGAGAGUGAGAGUGAAGACGAAGAUAAUGAGAUCAUAUACAACCCCAAAAACCUGCCACUCGGCUGGGACGGAAAGGUACAU
Long non-coding RNA from Sinocyclocheilus grahami, 344 nucleotides. RefSeq lists it as uncharacterized. The record is from RefSeq and is a predicted model, not a curated record. Lineage: Eukaryota; Metazoa; Chordata; Actinopteri; Cypriniformes; Cyprinidae. The transcript has 3 exons.